CAGCCGCCGCGGGAACACGGAGGAUCCAAGCGUUAUCCGGAAUCAUUGGGUUUAAAGGGUCCGUAGGCGGUCUUGUAAGUCAGUGGUGAAAGCCCAUCGCUCAACGGUGGAACGGCCAUUGAUACUGCAGGACUUGAAUUAUUGGGAAGUAACUAGAAUAUGUAGUGUAGCGGUGAAAUGCUUAGAGAUUACAUGGAAUACCAAUUGCGAAGGCAGGUUACUACCAAUUGAUUGACGCUGAUGGACGAAAGCGUGGGUAGCGAACAGGAUUAGAUACCCCUGUAGUCCCUGUCUCUUAUAC
This 301-nucleotide ribosomal RNA is filed under the name uncultured bacterium. RNAcentral describes it as "partial 16S ribosomal RNA". It matches the Rfam family "Bacterial small subunit ribosomal RNA", at positions 509 to 807 of the family's 1533-position model. The record is from RNAcentral.